CCUACGGGUGGCAGCAGUGGGGAAUAUUGCACAAUGGGGGAAACCCUGAUGCAGCGACGCCGCGUGAGUGAAGAAGUAUUUCGGUAUGUAAAGCUCUAUCAGCAGGGAAGAAAAUGACGGUAACUGAUUAAGAAGCCCCGACUAACUACGUGCCAGCAGCCGCGGUAAUACGUAGGGGGCAAGCUUUAUCCGGAUUUACUGGGUGGAAAGGGAGCGUAGAAGGCAGCACAAGGCUGGAGUGAAAGGCCGGGGCUUAACCCCGGAACUGCUUUGGAGAAUGUGCAGUUAGAGUGCAGGCGAGGUAAGUGGAAGUCCUAGUGUAGCGGUGAAAUGCGUAGAUAUUAGGAGGAACACCAGUGGCGAAGGCGGCUUACUGGACUGUAACUGACGUUGAGGCUCGAAAGCGUGGGGAGCAAACAGGAUUAGAUACCCGAGUAGUC
Molecule: ribosomal RNA, 440 nt
Filed under: uncultured bacterium
Lineage: Bacteria
Description: partial 16S ribosomal RNA
Rfam family: Bacterial small subunit ribosomal RNA
Source: RNAcentral